Molecule: long non-coding RNA, 1075 nt
Organism: Bubalus bubalis (water buffalo)
Lineage: Eukaryota; Metazoa; Chordata; Mammalia; Artiodactyla; Bovidae
Exons: 3
Source: RefSeq, a predicted model, not a curated record
AAAUGGGAAUGUUUGUUGUUUUUCUGUCUCACAUUAUCGCACAUACCUGGCUAAUUAAAAUAUGUCACUUUAAUUAAAGGUACCUAUGGAGGGUGGCCAGGGAUCAAUGUUAUCAAUGUACCCACAGCCCAGCUGCUCAUUUCCCAACAAGCAAGCUCCCUGAGUGACCUAGUAGUGUCACUAUCACAACCGACCUAGUUGAAACUUAUGUUGGAGGCAACCAGGGCUCUGUGUCCUCAGUAGAAGUGAGUUGCACAAGCAAGAUAAUCCUUUUGCUGCAUUCUCAGAGGACUUAGUCCCACACCCAGAGAGAAGUAAUGUGCCUGUCUCAGUCAGGAUGGUUCUCAGCUGAGCCCCAGAUUGCUGAGGGAGAUUCAUGGCUUGCUAACAUAAACUUUGUCCCUGGGUGGACAAAUCUCCAAGCCAUCUCCUCCACAUGUCAUGUUUGCUCAAGUCAAGAUGCAUACUUGCUCAAGUCAAGUGCCUACUCUAUGAGAGAAAUCCUGCUUGAUGAUAGAGCCACAAGACUGAAGACAACAGUCCGUGCUGCAGAGGGGCUCAUAUCUGGCUUCUGACUCAUCUCACAGAUGAGGAAACUGAAACUGAACUUUCUGGUUUCUUUCUCUGGUGUGCUCAUGCUGUAUUCCCUUUACUGAGUACCUUACUCCCUUCCUGUAUUCACAGAGCCCAACUGAAGUUCUACUUCUUCUAAGAGGAUUUCCUGACUCUUGUCCAUGGUGGUACUCCAAUGAUACUGCAAGCUUCUAGAAGGCAGGAGUCAUCUUUUAAAUUUCAAACCUGGGCACACAGUUAACGCUCAACAUCUAGUCAAGAUUUAACUGAUUGGAUGAUGGAAACCAGCUCUCGAGCAGUAAUAGGAGGAGAGGAAUGGAUUCAAGCCCAAGGAAAUUUAAUCCUUUUCUGACCCCUGGCCUGUCUCAUCCAGGAACUAGAUGACCAACACCUUCCUGAAGGCUAUGGAAUGGAAGAUGAAUGAAGGGCUGGGUUUUCCCCACAGGCUGGAAAAAAGGCAAGUCCAGUACUUUCUUCUGGAAAGAAAGAAAGAACUGGAAAA